Molecule: transfer RNA, 79 nt
Filed under: Pseudomonadales bacterium
Lineage: Bacteria; Pseudomonadati; Pseudomonadota; Gammaproteobacteria; Pseudomonadales
Also listed under: 1 other name
Description: tRNA-Ser
Source: RNAcentral
CUGAGUGUCACUGAUCUGCAGAGGCAUAAUCACUCUGGGGGAGUGGGGGUCGUGGGUUCGAAUCCCGCCGCUCCGACCA